Molecule: ribosomal RNA, 253 nt
Filed under: uncultured Eubacteriales bacterium
Lineage: Bacteria; Bacillati; Bacillota; Clostridia; Eubacteriales
Description: uncultured Clostridiales bacterium partial 16S ribosomal RNA
Rfam family: Bacterial small subunit ribosomal RNA
Source: RNAcentral
UACGUAGGGGGCAAGCGUUAUCCGGAUUUACUGGGUGUAAAGGGAGCGUAGGCGGCUUAGUAAGUCAGAAGUGAAAGCCCGCAGCUCAACUGCGGGACUGCAUUGGAAACUGGCGCGCUUGAGUGCCGGAGAGGCAAGCGGAAUUCCUAGUGUAGCGGUGAAAUGCGUAGAUAUUAGGAGGAACACCAGUGGCGAAGGCGGCUUGCUGGACGGUAACUGACGCUGAGGCUCGAAAGCGUGGGGAGCAAACAGG